This 32-nucleotide non-coding RNA is filed under the name unclassified sequences. The record is from Rfam.
CUAUGUUUAAAAGUUAAACAUGGCGAAAGGAG